GAACGUUUUCCUCUGCACGCAUUCGGGGGCGGGACUUCCAUAGGCUUCAUGUGGGGUCCGGUUUCCGUGUUUUUUCACCUUUUUCAGGGCAGUGAGUCCUGAGUCGGGACCGAAGAGAAUGGAACAGGCGAGGAGAGGCGUUGGCCCCGGUGCCCAGAGGCGGCUGUGAGGCCCCCCCGAGCCCGUAGUUGACGGCAGUGCCCUCGUUCCCGCCCCGCCCGCCGCCUCUUCCGGCUCCGUUCUUCCCACCGACCGGUGACCCCGGUGACCGAGGCUGCGCCAAUGAGGCCCGCUCAGGUGGGUGCUGCGUCUCCCGGGCCCCCACCCGGCCCGACUGCCGCCUCCGAGUCCUAAAUACGGACGGAGGGGCGCCCGCUCGGUUCCCUGACAGUCAGCCCCAGAGUCCAGAACAGAGGGCGGCCUUGGGAGGGGGUCCCCUUUCAGCCCGUGGACUGGGGUGAGGGAGAGAGUUCCCUCGGGGGGCCCCCUGUGCACGGCUUGCAGGUGCUACGGAGUCGGCAGCAUUGGGGAAACCUGGGGUCGCUUUUGUCGUGGACAGAGGGGGAGGAGUUACCUCACCUGAAACGGCAACCUGAGCAGGAAGCAACCACAAGGAUCAGGUUUCAGAAGAUAAUGAGUUAAAUUGUGGAUGUGUGACCCUAAGAUACCUCAAGGUGGAGACGGCACAUAGGAGCAUAUCUGGCAUAGGAGUUACUCUGGCCUGUGUCUGUAGAAAAGGAUAGCUGGAUGUGAUGAAUUGCCGGCCUGGAUGGAGAUGAAGGUGUAAGGUCGUGUAGAAUGAGCCCUGCAGGUCAGCUCUUCUCCUAGAGGAGAAUCCCUGUGGAACAAAGAAAUAGCCAGGUUCCCAUGGCAUUUGCAGAAAUACUUAUGGACCUGUACAGGUGAAUGGAGGAUGUGCCAGACCUUCAUCCACCCCAGUUAUCACCCUGAUGGUUCUGCCACUCUCAUAUAAAGAAUGCUGGUGGCCUGAGAUUGUUCACCCAUCCUCCCUUCCUUGGGUCUGAAGUCCCUGUGGUUUCACCAAGGCCUAGGGUCUUGAACUCAGUCCCAGAUUAUAUGGAGCUGUUCCCGUUUCCAACAACUGAUGGAGUAAGAUGUGGAAGGAUGUCGUGGGCACAGGAUCCAGAAUGUCCAGACAACUGGAGGGACUUGUGGUUUUUACAGACGUGGUCAUACAUUUCUCUCAGGAGGAGUGGGGGCUCCUUGAUGAGGCUCAGAGACACCUGUACCACCAUGUGAUGCUGGAGAACUUUGCACUUCUCUCAUGACUAGGUUGUUGGCAUGGAGCCCAGGAUGAGGAGCCAGCUUCAGAGCAAGGUGUUUCUAUAGAAGUGUCACUGGCCAGGACACCAAAGCCAGGUCCCUCCAUCGGGAAUGCCCAGCCCUGUGGGACAUGCAGCUCACUCUUGAAAGACAUUCUGUCCCUGGCUGAGCAGGGUGGAAUGCACCCUGGGCAAGGACUAUACACUUGUGAGGCAAAGCUUUGCCAGCACCAAAAACGUCACAUUAGAGAGAAACUUUCCUGAAAGGACAAGGGGAGGCCUUCAUUUGUGAAAAACUGUACUGUCCACAUGACACAGAGGACCUUCACAUGCAGGGAAGGUGGGAAGGACUUCCCAGCCAGCACAGGCCCUCUCCAGUACCAGCCUCUUCAUGGUGUGGGAAAGCCACAUGGGGACAUUGCAGAUGGAGAGGACUUUCAAAAUGGGCAAAGUGCUUACAAGUGCACUCAGUGUGGGAAAGCCUUCAGCCAUAACCAUACACUUGUUGACCAAGAGAAGAUCCACACUGGAGAAUAGUUUUAUGAGCAUAGGGAAUGUGGGAAGGCCUUUCUUAGAAAGUCCCAACACGAGCAGCAUCAGAAAGUCCACACUGAGCCUGGGCUCUAUGAGCACUCAGAAUGUGGAGUAUUCGUUACAGAAAUAUCUGGCCUCAAUGACCACCAGAGAAUUAACACAAGGCCAAGGCCUUUUGAGUGCAGCCUUCUUUAGACCGUCCCAACUCGUUGGUCACCAGAAAAUCCACACUGAAGAAAGAACUUACGGUGGUAGUGAGUGUGGAAAAUUCUUUAGGAACUGUUCCACACUCAUUAGACACCAGAGAGUUCACACUGGAGAAAGGCCUUUUGAGUGCACUGAAUGCGGGAGAGCCUUCACCUGCAAACAUAGGCUUGUUGAGUACCAGAAAAUCCACAGUGGUGAAAAGACUUUUUCAGUCACAAAGACACAGUUGUUGAGCACCAGAAAAUCCACACUGGAGAAAGGCCUUACAAGUGCAGCAAAUGUGGGAAAUUCCUUAUGGACAGCUCCUCAUUAUUCAUUAGAAAGUUCACACUGGACAAAGACGUUAUGAGUAUGGCAAAUGUGGAAAAAAAAUUUUUUUAAUUUAUUUUAAUUUAUUUAUUUUUGGCUGUGUUGGGUCUUUGUUGAUGCACGCGGGCUUUCUCUAGUUGUGGGGAGCGGGGGCUACUCUUUGUUGUGGUGCACGGGCUUCUCAUUGUGGUGUCUUCUCUUGUUGUUGAGCACGGGCUCUAGGGCACGUGGGCUUCAAUAGUUGCAGUGCAUGGGCUCAGUAGUUGUGGUUCAUGGGCUCUAGAGCUCAGGCUCAGUAGUUGUGGCACACGGGCUUAGUUGCUCUGUGGCAUGUGGGAUCUUCCCGGACCAGGGCUCGAACCCAUGUCCCCUGCAUUGGCAGGCAGAUUCUUAACCACUGCACCACCAGGGAAGUCCCCAAUCUAUUUUUAACAUUUUGAACUCUUUCCUUUAUUGGCUAUACCAUUUUAUGCUCCCAUCAAACGUCCACAGAGUUCCAGUAUCUCCACAUCCUCAUUGACAUAAUUCUAUUUUCCGUUUCAUGUUUAAUAGUAGCUAUCCUAAUGGAUGUGAGGUAAUAUCUCACUGUAGUUUUGUUUAUUUUAUUAUAUAUAUAUAUUUUUUAUGGCUGCGUCGGGUCUUAGUUGCAGCAUGCGGGCUCUUUGUUGUGGCACACGGGCUUCUCUAGUGUGGCAUGCAGAUUUUCUCUUCUCUAGUUGUGGCCCGUGGGCUUCUCUCUAGGUGUGGUGUGCAGGUUUUCUGUUCUUUAGUUGUGGCGCGUGGGCUCCAGAGCAUAUGGGCUGUAUAAUUGUGGCAUGCAGGCUCCAGAGCGUGUGGGCUCUGUAGUUUGCAGCAUGCGGGCUCUCUAGUUGAGGAGUGCGAGCUCAGUAGUUGUGAUGCGUGGGCUUAGUUGCCCUGUGGCAUUUGGGAUCUUAGUUCCCCAACUAGGAAUCGAACCCACAUCCCCUGCAUUGCAAGGUGGAUUCUUUACCACUGGACCACCAGGGAAGUUCCCUUACUGUAGUUUUGUUUAGCAUUUCCCUAAUGAUUAAUGAUCAUGCCUUCUUGGCCAUUUGUGUAUAUUCUUUGUAAAAAUCUCUAUGUUUACCCCUUUAAAAUUUUUCUUAUUGGUGAGUUUUAGCAGUUCUUUAUAUAAUCUGGAUACUGACCACUUAUCAAAUAUAUGAUUUGCAAAUGAUUUUCUUCCAUUCAGUAGCUUGCCAUUUCACUCUGUUGAUUGUGUCCUUUGCACAGAAGUUUGUACCCUUAUUUUUGCUUUUGUUUCCUAUGCUUUUCAUGUCAAUGCCAAGAAGUUAUAAAUCCAAUGUCAUGAAGCUUUUCCCCUAUGUCUUCAUCUAAGAGUUUUUGAGCUUACAUCGUACUGUCAGGUCUUUGUUUAUUUUGAGUUCAUUUUUGGGUGUGGUGUAAGGUAAGGGUCCAACUUCAUUCAUUUGGAUGCAGAUAUCCACUGUAAUUUGUUGGAGAGACUGUCCUCCUCCCAUUGAAUUGCGUUGACACUCUUGUUGAUUAUUUGAUCAAAUAUACUGGCUUCCAGUUCGGGGCACUCUGUUCUGUUUCAUUGGCCUAAAGUUUUGUGUUUAUGGCAGUACCAGUGUUUUGUUUUUGCUUUUUAAAAAUUUUUAUUACAAUGUAGUUAAUUUACAAUGUUGUGUUAGUUUCAGGUGUACAGCAAAGUGAAUCAGUUAUUCGUAUACAUAUAUCCACUCUUUUUUAGAUUCCUUUCCCAUAUAGACAAUUACAGAGUUUUGAGUAGAGUUCCCUGUGUUAGACAGUAGCUCCUUAUUAGUUAUAUUUCAGUUUUGAGUCCCUGGCUUGAUGUCAGUCAUUUCCUCUUUUAGAGCAGCAGCUGAUUAAGACCACAACCAAUCACUGUCUAUAUCAGGCACUCACACUCUGGACACCAUCCCUUAUGUCCCAGGGCCAGGAAACCAGGCAACUGGAGACAGCCUGUAUGCCCCUGACCCCAUGAAAUUAUUCCAGCUAGGUCAUCCAUGGGGAGCCUGGGAAACCUAGGUAGCCCCAGACCACCUGCUAUGUAUAGGGUGCUCCCUACAGCCUCAGGUUACUUACUGUGUCCCUGUACAGCCUGUUGUGUGCCCUGCCUGAUGCCCUUGUCUCAUCCUAAGCCCUAGGUAACAGAAUUCUUCUUUUUAUCUACCCAAGUGUCAUCAAGAACUUUUAAAUCUUACAAAACAACUACAAACCCAGAAGAGUGUUAGGAAUGCAGUGAAUGUUGAAAGUUAUUCAGCUAUUAGCCUAAACUCAAACAGCACUGGUAAAUUUAAAUCGGAGAAACAUCUUCGGAGUGCAGGCAACAUGCUGGUUCCUUGUUCUACGUAAUUACAGAGCGACAUUUGGAGAUUAGUCUUUGUGAAAGAGAACUCAGCCAUAAAUUGAACUUCAUGCCUCCAGACAUCCCAGGAAGAUUCUCUUAAGUACCAAGUAUAUUGGAAGCUUUCAUGAUAACACCUUGCACUUCCGGACCUGCCUGGAGUCCUUGCCAGAAAUAAGUUGUUACCAGUAUCUGUUAUGUUAGCCUUCCCUCCUCUGCCACAUGGCAGGGUGCCGCACUGUGUAUGAGUCAUCCUUACAGUGCUUGGGAGGCAGGAAGCUACACUUUCUUCCUUCAUCUGGAGGACUCACCCGUCUCUUGACUUUUGGGGUAUCUCAUUCACUUCCCACUGAUUGUUUUGGGUGGGAUAUUACCCAGUUCUGGACAAGACGACUCCAGCUGGCUUCUGCAGGCAGCUUGUGGAGAUUUCCCUUCUUCUGAGCUCGGGCCCUCCGGCUUCUCCUCGGCCAGUUCGCGAAACGAUGUCUCACGCCCUCGAGAAGCGCAGAGACAGUUGCAGUUCAGCACAUAGAAAAUUAGAAACGCCCGUCUACUCAGGAGUAAAGACUUCAAGAAACACCAGGAAGAGGAAAGACUUAGGACUCACCUGGGAUGACAACACAGCUACAUGAUCAUCCUCACCCCUCUGGUUACUAAUAAAAAGACAUUUUAAUCAAAGAAGACAAUACACCUGGCAGAGAACACAGGAAUGUUCAACAUCAUGAAUCACUAGGGAAAUGCAUCAGACCACAGUGAGGAGCCAAGGAUCCCCCUGGAAUCUUACUCUGAAUCUCCUUUUCAGUAGAACUCUGGCAAACCACAACCCCGUCCUUGACUCCUUGUCUCAUGGGAGGGAUUCUGUAGUAGUAGCGAUGAAGACUGGUGAGCAAUGAAAGGUUUUUUUUAUUUUAUUUUUUGUUGUGUUGGGCCGUUGUUGCUGUGCCUGGGCUUUCUCUAGCUGUGGUGAGCAGAGGCUACUCUUUGUUGUGGUGUGGGGGAUUCUCAUUGCAGUGGCCUCUCGUUGCAGAGCACAGGCUCUGGAAGUUGUGGCACACAGGCCUAGUUGCUAUGAGGCAUGUGGGAUCUUCCCAGGCCAGGGCUUGAACCCCUGUCCCCUGCAGCAGGUGGAUUCUUAACCACUGUGCCACCAGGGGAAUCCCUGAAAAGUGUUUCCACUUAAGUUAUCCAAGAACUCUGCCUGGGUCCUAAAAAUCACAUGCCUGUACUACACGAUUUCCACACUCAUUCCCCAUUGUUUUCACUGUGCAUCAAAUGGCCUUGAGAUAAACUAUUUGCAGAUGCUGAGGGAAUCCUAAAACCUUUAUGUUACUCAGUCUGACACUGACUGAGGUUCAGGAGGUUUCUGCAAAAACCUUUAUGCAAAACAGCCACAGUGGUGGGAAAAUACAUGAAUGCAAUUUUAUAUUUUAUUCCUUCUUCUUUGGUAGUCUCUCCCUGUAAUUCCCUGUUUUAGUCCCACAGAGAGCCCUGCACUCUACCCCAGAAGGCCUUGGACAACGAUGCAAAAAUGGGCCAGAACUGGAGUGAAAACUAUUCUCUGCCAUGAUACUACCCCCAGUGAGGUAUACUAAGUUUGGAACACCCACAAAACCUGUUCCUGUGUCCUGUCCUAGCCAGUUGAUGGAAGAGAAUGACAAAACCCACGUGCUCAGGGAAUCCAUGCUUUUCUACAGGGGAUACGAGAGCACAAAAGGCUACCUACCCUGAUCACACUUAGAUGACUGAGUCCCAGUAUGGGGAUCUGCCACUUGGAAAAGGUAAGAAACUCACAGUGACAGUAAGUCAGAAAGUAGAGCAUAGCUCCUGAAAAGCUUCCUACAAACCUCGUACUCACGGGCAAUCUGCACACUAGGGUUGUUCAGUUGUAUGGCAUUCAACUUCCGUUGAUGAGUCCCUCACAAAGCCUAUUCAGUAUGAUGUAUUAACUAAGGAGACAGCUCAUGUGCUACUCUCCUCAUCUCAUCUCAAGGCCUUUCUCCAGUAUGAACUCUGGUGAUAGAUGAGGUUUUAUAGACCUUUGGCUGAAAGCUUUCUUACAUUUGCUGCACUCAUGGUCUUUUUCUGUGGCGUGACCUGUUUGGUGUUCAGUAAGCUGGGUGUUUUGGCUGAAGAAUUCUCCAUAUUUAGUGCAUGCGUUUUUUUCCUCCAGUGUGACUGUCUUCUUCAGGCCUCUCUCCUGUGUGGACUCUCUCAUGCUCUGCAAGCCUAUACAUCCAGGGGUAGGCUUUCCCACACUCAUAGCACUUAUAGAGACUUUUACCAUUGUGAAACACUGCUGUGCAGUCAGCAUCCUUUUGUGGAGUGACCUGGUGCUGGAGAAGGCUAGAGCUACCAGGGAAAUCCAUCCCAGCCUCCUGGCAUGUGAAGGAGUUCUUGGAUGCAUGGACUAUGUGGCUCCUCAUAAAGGCCUUACCCCUGUCUCUUCUAAAGAGUUUCCCUCCACUGUGCUGGUGAAAUUUCACACCUGACACACACAGUUUCUGGCCAGGAAUUGUUCCCAGGUCUUCACCUAGAGGCAAACUUACUGUUUAAGGCCAGGCUACACAUCUUCCAGGGACAGGACUUUGGAUGGACAGGUCUCUGAAGUAUUUAUUCAUGGCACUUCUACAGAAACAUUCUGCUCAGAAAUUAUCUCCUUGUGCUCUGCUCCAUGCCAACAAACUGAAAGCAGAGAAAUGACACAAUGUUGGGGGGAGUGCACACAGAAAUGAGGUACACAGUCACUGGCUUUGGCACCAAAACACUGUGGGGCACAGGACAUGAUCCUGAUAUAAUUUGAACCCCUGAUGCCAAAUCAAUGGGGCCAAGCCCACUUUGAACCCCUCAUGCUGGGGCUUGGAGUCAUGUCCACUCUGUCAUGUCCCAGGGUUCACCUCCCAGCUCCAGUUGGACAACAACAUGGAACCUAGAAAAUGCAAGUCCUAAGGGAAAGACAGGACAGGUGAACAGUCAGUACUAGCCCAGGAGAACAACCAAUCCCCCAAAAAACCUGAGGAAAGAAAAACAGUGUCACAAAAAGAACCAGUGUCCCUGCUGGAUCCCAACAAUUCCUGGUACAGUCAGGGCCCAGGAAAUAUCAGCUGGAAGGGGGCAGAACCUAGUGCACAGAGGUGUGUGGGUCUACAGAGUCAACUUAGCAGGGAGUGGCUGAGACUGAUGGAACCCACUGAACUAAUUCCAAGUCUUAUGACCCAGAAAAACUUCACUGAAAAAACUUCAGAGCUGCUGGUACUGGGGAUACUUCUGAAAGGAGGUCGUACUCAUUCAGCCUUGGCACCAACACAGAUGAGAGGGAAGCAGUAAUAGAGAUGUGCCCACUGUCUAGGAGUCUGUGAAAAAACAGACUUGCCUUUGGAAAAGGGAAAGGCAGAGACCUGCCCAGGAUGCUGGGAUAGGUGGGAGGCCCUUACCCAAUGAUGCAACAAGUGCAAAGGGCUCCAGGAUCACAUCACGGCACAGGAAUCUCUGGGCCUCAUCAAGAAGCUUCCAUUCCUCCUGGGAAAAGUACCCAGCCACGUCCUCAAAGGUCACAGGGCCCUGUGAUGAUGGGACAGAUUUGUACAUAAGCAGCCUCUCUCCCCAGGACCCCAUAAGUACUUCUAAACCCAGCCCAUACUCUGGGUUCAUCAUCCACCCCAGCUCUGUGACUUAGAGGGCAGUGGGCCCAAUAACUCUUCAUGCUUCCUUGAUCAGUAUGUACAACCCUGAGCAACAACAGGCAGGUGGACAGAGAGAUACCAUGUAAUCUGUGAGCCUGGUAUGCAGGGCCCUUUCCCUUUCCUCCAAGACAACAGCCUGAGUGUACCCACUAUCAUGUCUCCCAGAUACAAGCAAACUUAGCCCCAUCCUUCUCUCUUAUACUUCUAGUACUAGGGCCUGGGGCAAUUACUUCACACACUUUCCUCACUGAACCUCCUCAUACAUUACAUGUCUACCAUCAUUCUCAGAACAGAAACCUCGUGCUACCAUUCUAAUUCUGCCCCCCUUGCUCUCUGUCCUUAUCAGUUGUUAACAGACCUACAUGUCCUAGAGCACUCCCAUCACAAUCACAUCCUCAAGCAUUUGUAUAUACUAGCCCCAUUACUAAGACAACCUUUCAUGUCUCAGUCCGCUGGCUGCCAAAAAUGGGAAUCUGUCCAUAAAACCUAGGGUCUACAGACACCAAGUCCACAAAGACACCUGACACCAGUGCAGGGGCCAUAAAUGGUUCUGCUGAGCAAACCAUUUAAUAUUUCAGGCAAAGACAAAUACUCAAGAGAAAAAUAAAGCAUGUAAAAGAGGACAGAAAAUGUUAUAGAGUUGUGCCAUAAGGUCAUGUGGAUACCUUGAGAAAAGGCUGUCCAGAAGUGGGACAAAAAAGUGCAAAGCCUCUCUAUCAGAGUCAUGUCUGGUGUGUAUGAGCAGCAUCCACAAGGCUAGUGUGACUGGAGCCCAUUGAGCCAGAAGAAUAAGGGAUUGUGUUGGAGAGGAAAUGGUUCUUUUCAAACUUUACUUUGGUUAUAUUAAAAAUUAUUACUUUAUAAAAAUCUCCACCUUACAUAAUCCAUAGAUUAAAUUCUGAUUUGGAAUUAUGCUAACAUUACAUAAUAGGAUUCAAGAAUAUAUACUUUUUAUACUUAUCCACCAUAUUCUUUGAUAUAUCCAUUUUUUUCCCCCAUACCUGUUCAGAGAGACUAUCUGUAAUUUCCUACUAGAUUUCUUCUCCAGGGGUAGAGAUCAUGAACCACAAUUUACUGAAUUCACACUGAAUAUGACUCUCUGGAAAAGGGGUUCUUGCCAGAAUCAAAGUGCUUGGCCUCCAGCAGUUGGGGAUAACUGGGCAUCAUUGCUGACUCUUUAAACUUAAGAGAACUGCAACAAGCUAUAGGACUUACCUCUAGUCCAUCUGCAUUGUAGAAACACAGAAAUACCUUAUUGAGUUCUUAACAUCUUGCAUUAUCACUUUUUACACUUACAAUGUCACUUACAAUGACAAAAAGUGAUAAUGACAAAGCAUUAUCACUUUUUACACUUACAAUGAUUCAUUUUAUCACCCUUAAAACAAGUAUUUUAACAAGAUAGCUUAAUCAUUUAUGAUUUUCCACUAAAAUAAGUAUUAUUCAGGAACUUCCCUGGUGGUCCAGUGAUUAAAAAUCUGCCUUCCAAUGCAGGGGAUGCAGGUUGGAUCCCACAUACUGUGGUGGGGCAACUGAGCCCAUGUGCUUCAACGAAAGAUCCUGUGUGCUGCAACUAAGACCUGACACAGCCAAAAAUAAAUAAAACAAUACAUAAGCAUUAUUUGAAGAGUACAAUCACAUUCUACCUGAAAAAGAAUUCAGAGUAAUGAUAGUAAAGAUGAUUCAAAAUCUCAGAAAAGAAUGGAAACAGACGGAGAAGAUACAAGAAAUGUUUAAAAGAAAGGUAGAUUUGAUGAACAAUACAAUAACUGAAAUGAAAAAUACACUGGAGGGAUUCAAUAGCAGGAUAACUAAGGUAGAAGAACGACUAAGUGAGCUUGGAUGACAGAGUGGUGGAAAUAACAACAUUUAAUGAACCAACAUUUGCAUUAUAAGGGUCGAAGAAGAGAAAGGGAAAGGGCCUGAGAAAAUAUUUGAGGAGAUUACAGCCGAAAACAUCCCUAACAUGGGAAAGGAAACACCCAAGUCCAAGAAGUGCAGAGUCCCAUACAGGAUAAACCCAAGGAGAAACACACCAAAACACAUAUUAAUCAAACUGAUACAAAUUAAACACAAAGGAAAAAUAUUAAAAGCAGCAAGGGAAAAGCAACAAAUAACACACAAAGGAAUGAUAACCAUAAGGCUAUAUCAGCUGAUUUUUCAACAGAAACUCUGCAGGCCAAAGUGGCACAAUAUAUAUUUAAAUGGUGAAAGGGAAAAAACCUACAACCAGCAAUACACUACUCAGCAAGGCUUUCAUUCAGAUUAGAUGGAGAAAUUAAAAGCUUUACAGACAAGACAAGCAAAAGCAAAGAGAAUUCAGCACCACCAGACCAACUUUGCAAAAAGUGCUAAAAGAACUUCUCUAGGCAGAAAAGAAAAGGUCACAACUAGAAACAAGAAAAUCACAAAAGGGAAAGCUCAUCAGUAAAGGCAAACAGACAGUAAAAGAAGGAAACCAAAAAAAAAAAAAAAAAAAAAAAAAGAAGGAAAACAUCCACACACGAAAUAUGAUAUCAAAACAGCAACCAUGAGGAGUACAAAUGCAGGAAAUGGGAAUUGCAUUUGAAAUUAAGACACCAGCACCUCAAAACAAUCCUGUACAUACAUAAACUGCUAUAUAAAAACCACAUAGAUGCAGGGGACACGGGUUCAAGUCCUGGUCGGGUAAGAUCGCACAUGCCAUGGAGCAAGUAAGCCUGUGUGCCACAACUACCGAGUGUGCACUCUAGAGCCCCCAAGCCACAAUUACUGAGCUCACGUGCCUAGAGCCAAUGCUCUGCAAUGAGAAGCCAUGUAAAUGAGAAGCCUGCACACUGCAAUGAAGAGUAGCUCCCAAUUGCCGCAACUAGAGAAAGCCCGCACACAGCAACAAACACCCAACUCAGCCAAAAAGAAAAAAAACAUACAGGCAGACUGCAAACCAAAAAAUUACAAUAGGUUCAAAAAAAGAAAAAAAAAAAAAACCCCAAACACAACACUAAAGAUAA
This is a long non-coding RNA of Orcinus orca (killer whale), 11353 nucleotides long. RefSeq lists it as uncharacterized. The record is from RefSeq and is a predicted model, not a curated record. Lineage: Eukaryota; Metazoa; Chordata; Mammalia; Artiodactyla; Delphinidae. The transcript is spliced from 10 exons.